Molecule: long non-coding RNA, 691 nt
Organism: Vicia villosa (hairy vetch)
Lineage: Eukaryota; Viridiplantae; Streptophyta; Magnoliopsida; Fabales; Fabaceae
Exons: 3
Source: RefSeq, a predicted model, not a curated record
AAUAAACUUUUCUAGCCAUCUUAAAUAGCAUAUUGAAAGGACUUGCUGAUCAACCUUUAGAAGUAGUAUGGCUACCAAUAUCAAAAGUCUCUAUUUUACCUUUGCAAUUAUAUGCAUUGCCAUGAUUGUAGUUUCAAGUUCAGGAGGAACUAACAAGAAUGAUGAAGUAUUUUGCACUGACUGGUGGGGCUGUCCUGAUGACAAACACAAGUGUUUCUUCUUAUGUUCAAACUUUGGAUAUGAAUUACAUGGAAAAUGUCAUGAAAAUACUUGUUGUUGCGAUGGUGAAGUUAGCUGAAUGGAAGGUUAUUCCAAAAUAUAACAAUGGUCUUGCUAGAGGUGGAAACAACAUCAACAACAACAAAAAUAUCAUUAUGUGAGAUAGAUUGAAAGACCAGAAGAAAAAAAGUUGUGUUUAACGUUGGUGUUAGAAGAACAUCAUACAACACAGAACCUUGAAGAUUUUUUAUGUCUUGCAAUCUAUCCCCAAGAAUAAUGCGUACGACUUUGGAGCGACUAUAGGUGGGUUAGGUUUAGGGACAACUUAAUUAACUUGUACUUUUAUAGUAAAGUUUGAUUAUAUAAUCUCUCACUUAUUACAGAAAUCAAAGGAAUAGAUCAUUUAAUUUACAAAUAAAAAAUAAAAUAAAAAGAAAGACACCAUUUUUACAGAAGUCAAAACAUAAACUGC